UCUAUCAGCUUUUAUGUUACAGAAUUAAAUUCUACAGAGACUGCUGCUUUUGAUGCCAUCAACCAAUACUUGCAUCCUCGGCCCACUGCUGAUAACCUGAGUCAAGAAGAUCUAAUUGAGGUUAUUGAUUUAACCGUAGAGGAUGAACAAGAAGC
Long non-coding RNA from Danio aesculapii, 155 nucleotides. RefSeq lists it as uncharacterized. The record is from RefSeq and is a predicted model, not a curated record. Lineage: Eukaryota; Metazoa; Chordata; Actinopteri; Cypriniformes; Danionidae. The transcript is spliced from 3 exons.